RNAcentral lists this ribosomal RNA (2798 nucleotides) under Klebsiella pneumoniae. Its description in RNAcentral is "bacterial LSU rRNA". It matches the Rfam family "Bacterial large subunit ribosomal RNA". Lineage: Bacteria; Pseudomonadati; Pseudomonadota; Gammaproteobacteria; Enterobacterales; Enterobacteriaceae. The record is from RNAcentral.
CCGGCGAUGUCCGAAUGGGGAAACCCAGUGCAAUUCGUUGCACUAUCGUUAACUGAAUACAUAGGUUAACGAGGCGAACCGGGGGAACUGAAACAUCUAAGUACCCCGAGGAAAAGAAAUCAACCGAGAUUCCCCCAGUAGCGGCGAGCGAACGGGGAGCAGCCCAGAGUCUGAAUCAGCUUGUGUGUUAGUGGAACGGUCUGGAAAGUCCGACGGUACAGGGUGAUAGUCCCGUACACCAAAAUGCACAGGUUGUGAACUCGAAGAGUAGGGCGGGACACGUGGUAUCCUGUCUGAAUAUGGGGGGACCAUCCUCCAAGGCUAAAUACUCCUGACUGACCGAUAGUGAACCAGUACCGUGAGGGAAAGGCGAAAAGAACCCCGGCGAGGGGAGUGAAAAAGAACCUGAAACCGUGUACGUACAAGCAGUGGGAGCACCUUCGGGUGUGACUGCGUACCUUUUGUAUAAUGGGUCAGCGACUUAUAUUCUGUAGCAAGGUUAACCGUAUAGGGGAGCCGCAGGGAAACCGAGUCUUAACUGGGCGUUAAGUUGCAGGGUAUAGACCCGAAACCCGGUGAUCUAGCCAUGGGCAGGUUGAAGGUUGGGUAACACUAACUGGAGGACCGAACCGACUAAUGUUGAAAAAUUAGCGGAUGACUUGUGGCUGGGGGUGAAAGGCCAAUCAAACCGGGAGAUAGCUGGUUCUCCCCGAAAGCUAUUUAGGUAGCGCCUCGUGAACUCAUCUUCGGGGGUAGAGCACUGUUUCGGCUAGGGGGUCAUCCCGACUUACCAACCCGAUGCAAACUACGAAUACCGAAGAAUGUUAUCACGGGAGACACACGGCGGGUGCUAACGUCCGUCGUGAAGAGGGAAACAACCCAGACCGCCAGCUAAGGUCCCAAAGUCAUGGUUAAGUGGGAAACGAUGUGGGAAGGCACAGACAGCCAGGAUGUUGGCUUAGAAGCAGCCAUCAUUUAAAGAAAGCGUAAUAGCUCACUGGUCGAGUCGGCCUGCGCGGAAGAUGUAACGGGGCUAAACCAUGCACCGAAGCUGCGGCAGCGACACUAUGUGUUGUUGGGUAGGGGAGCGUUCUGUAAGCCUGCGAAGGUGACCUGUGAGGGUUGCUGGAGGUAUCAGAAGUGCGAAUGCUGACAUAAGUAACGAUAAAGCGGGUGAAAAGCCCGCUCGCCGGAAGACCAAGGGUUCCUGUCCAACGUUAAUCGGGGCAGGGUGAGUCGACCCCUAAGGCGAGGCCGAAAGGCGUAGUCGAUGGGAAACAGGUUAAUAUUCCUGUACUUGGUGUUACUGCGAAGGGGGGACGGAGAAGGCUAUGUUAGCCGGGCGACGGUUGUCCCGGUUUAAGCAUGUAGGCUGAUUGUCCAGGCAAAUCCGGAUAAUCAAGGCUGAGGUGUGAUGACGAGGCACUACGGUGCUGAAGUAACAAAUGCCCUGCUUCCAGGAAAAGCCUCUAAGCAUCAGGUAACAUCAAAUCGUACCCCAAACCGACACAGGUGGUCAGGUAGAGAAUACCAAGGCGCUUGAGAGAACUCGGGUGAAGGAACUAGGCAAAAUGGUGCCGUAACUUCGGGAGAAGGCACGCUGGUGUGUAGGUGAAGCCCCUGCGGGUGGAGCUGAGACCAGUCGAAGAUACCAGCUGGCUGCAACUGUUUAUUAAAAACACAGCACUGUGCAAACACGAAAGUGGACGUAUACGGUGUGACGCCUGCCCGGUGCCGGAAGGUUAAUUGAUGGGGUUAUCCGUAAGGAGAAGCUCUUGAUCGAAGCCCCGGUAAACGGCGGCCGUAACUAUAACGGUCCUAAGGUAGCGAAAUUCCUUGUCGGGUAAGUUCCGACCUGCACGAAUGGCGUAAUGAUGGCCAGGCUGUCUCCACCCGAGACUCAGUGAAAUUGAACUCGCUGUGAAGAUGCAGUGUACCCGCGGCAAGACGGAAAGACCCCGUGAACCUUUACUAUAGCUUGACACUGAACAUUGAGCCUUGAUGUGUAGGAUAGGUGGGAGGCUUUGAAGCGUGGACGCCAGUCUGCGUGGAGCCAACCUUGAAAUACCACCCUUUAAUGUUUGAUGUUCUAACGUUGGCCCCUUACCGGGGUUGCGGACAGUGUCUGGUGGGUAGUUUGACUGGGGCGGUCUCCUCCCAAAGCGUAACGGAGGAGCACGAAGGUUAGCUAAUCCUGGUCGGACAUCAGGAGGUUAGUGCAAUGGCAUAAGCUAGCUUGACUGCGAGCGUGACGGCGCGAGCAGGUGCGAAAGCAGGUCAUAGUGAUCCGGUGGUUCUGAAUGGAAGGGCCAUCGCUCAACGGAUAAAAGGUACUCCGGGGAUAACAGGCUGAUACCGCCCAAGAGUUCAUAUCGACGGCGGUGUUUGGCACCUCGAUGUCGGCUCAUCACAUCCUGGGGCUGAAGUAGGUCCCAAGGGUAUGGCUGUUCGCCAUUUAAAGUGGUACGCGAGCUGGGUUUAGAACGUCGUGAGACAGUUCGGUCCCUAUCUGCCGUGGGCGCUGGAGAAUUGAGGGGGGCUGCUCCUAGUACGAGAGGACCGGAGUGGACGCAUCACUGGUGUUCGGGUUGUCAUGCCAAUGGCACUGCCCGGUAGCUAAAUGCGGAAGAGAUAAGUGCUGAAAGCAUCUAAGCACGAAACUUGCCCCGAGAUGAGUUCUCCCUGAGACUUUAAGUCUCCUGAAGGAACGUUGAAGACGACGACGUUGAUAGGCCGGGUGUGUAAGCGCAGCGAUGCGUUGAGCUAACCGGUACUAAUGAGCCGUGAGGCUUAACCUU